This 174-nucleotide non-coding RNA is filed under the name bovine gut metagenome. RNAcentral's name for it is "glmS glucosamine-6-phosphate activated ribozyme". It matches the Rfam family "glmS glucosamine-6-phosphate activated ribozyme aptamer", at positions 11 to 153 of the family's 167-position model. Rfam says of the family: This entry contains a glucosamine-6-phosphate activated ribozyme that is found in the mRNA for GlmS. GlmS is an enzyme that uses fructose-6-phosphate and glutamine to generate glucosamine-6-phosphate. The record is from RNAcentral.
CUUAGCGCCAGCACCUGUCAGAUGGGUAAAGACGUGAUAUGUGUCCGAUGUGGCAUGACAUCUUUCAGGUUGACGAGGAGGAAGGUUAUCGAAAUUUCGGCGGAUGCUUUCCCGUACGAUUACCGUGUGCGAUAUGUGAGAUUAAAUAUGAGGGUAACUUCAAAACAGAGGUCU